GUUUCAGGCUAAAUUGGAACAUUGCGCUCAAUGCUGAAGAAUGAUAUUUGUUGUUUAUCGUUUUACAGAAUUCUUCUAACUCAGGCCCAAACAUCUCCACACUGUCCCCAUCCUCAAGCCCUGCCGUCCACUCCACCCCUAUUUGUACAGGAGCCAUUUAAUAGAGCAAACAGUAUUCGUUUGGCAGUUUAUUUGUGCUGCACCAAAAAAAACAGAGAAGCCAAAACAGAAAGAAAAAGGAAAAACAAAAAACCAGAAAUGGAGAAGUGUUCCCUUUCCAGACAAUCAUGAAGAAAAGAGAUAGGGAUGCGCUGAGGCUGGACUACCCGAAGGCAUCGGGGUGUCCAGAGAAGCUGGGCUUGAGGGAGGCAGCAGCUCCAACACCUUAGAGCCUUGGGAACAGUCCCUGUGACAGCCACACUGGUUGAGAGGAAAAAGCACAGCGGGAGAAGUUGAUCUCUUUCCACUGGGAGAUUGAUCUGCACUAGGUAAGUCUAUGAAUCCAUAAAGCCUCUUCAUCUCUAGAGUCUGUGAUUUCCUGUCUUCUCUAAAAGUCCUUGGCAAAACAGACAUUUAUUAAUGGUAUGAAACAGGCACUAUAUUGCAGUACAAAACGAAAAACGACCUCCACGUCUCAGUGCCUUUUCUCACUCCUGAGGUCCGCCGCAGGCUGGGUGACCCUCCCCGGCACCCGCCCUUCAUGCUGUAACCGGUGCAGCUCUGCGGUCUCGGCAGGAGGUUUCCUUGACUGCCUGGGCAAGGGAGGAGACAGCUGGAGCGUUGGGCGCUGCCUCUUCGAUUCUGACCUGUAGGAUUCACAGGUCCACAGUCCAUCAGCCAGAAUUAGUCACAAGGCUCCACCUAAGGGAAAGUGGGGUGGGCAACACUGUCACACUCGUCAGAAAGAGAAUCAUUUAUGCAAAAAUGAAUAGGUUCCAACCCCUUUCUCUUAGGGUAAACUCAAGGAACUGUAGUGAGAGUGGCGUAUUUGUUUGCAAUAUUAUUAUUCAUAGAUGCCAGGAUGCAUGGAAGUGCUAGAAGGCAGGGCGGUGUUCUGUGCGUCUUGACAUCCCUCCUGCCUGCCACAGUACAUGGCAUGUGAAAAAAAGCUCAACAAAGCCUUAACAACUAAGCUAAUGAAUAAGGUAUUCUAUAUCCUUCACUUCCCAAGGCGUUUCUUUUUUCUUUUUUUUUCUGAGACGGAGUCUCGCUCCAUCCCCCAGGCUGGUGUGCAGUGGCGCGGUCUUGGCUCACUGCAAUCUCCACCUCCCUGGUUCAAGUGAUUCUCCUGCCUCAGCCUCCUGAGUAGCUGGGAUUACAGGUGCAUGCCACCACGCCUGGUUAUUUUUUUUGUAUUUUUAGUAGAGACGGGGUUUCACCACGUUGGCCAGACUGGUCUCGAACUCCUGACCUCAGGCAAUCCGCCCGCCUUGGCUUCCCAAAGUGCUGGGAUGACAGGCGUGAGCCACCACACCUGGCCCCAAGGUAUUUCUUAUUGCUCUUCCUUCCCAGCCCAUGCUAGGUAUAUCACAUCGAAAAGGCAUUCUGUGUGUCCAAAUCACUUCUGAUUUGCUGCAAUUCAUCUUGAUGAAAUGGGAAGCUGUGGUUCUGCAGCUCUGGUAACAGUUAGGAA
Molecule: long non-coding RNA, 1633 nt
Filed under: Pan paniscus (pygmy chimpanzee)
Lineage: Eukaryota; Metazoa; Chordata; Mammalia; Primates; Hominidae
Description: lncRNA (ENSPPAG00000045627.1)
Source: RNAcentral